RNAcentral lists this transfer RNA (77 nucleotides) under Candidatus Moranbacteria bacterium RIFCSPHIGHO2_01_FULL_54_31. RNAcentral's name for it is "tRNA-Arg". It matches the Rfam family "tRNA". From Rfam's summary of the family: Transfer RNA (tRNA) molecules are approximately 80 nucleotides in length. Their secondary structure includes four short double-helical elements and three loops (D, anti-codon, and T loops). RNAcentral also lists the same sequence under 3 other names. Lineage: Bacteria; Candidatus Moraniibacteriota. The record is from RNAcentral.
GCGCUCGUAGCUCAGUGGAUUAGAGCAUCUGGCUUCGAACCAGAGGGUCGGGGGUUCGAUCCCCUCCGAGCGCACAA